This 253-nucleotide ribosomal RNA is filed under the name uncultured bacterium. RNAcentral describes it as "partial 16S ribosomal RNA". It matches the Rfam family "Bacterial small subunit ribosomal RNA", at positions 524 to 776 of the family's 1533-position model. The record is from RNAcentral.
UACGAAGGGGGCGAGCGUUGUUCGGAAUCACUGGGCGUAAAGCGUGCGUAGGCGGUACUGAAAGUUAGGAGUGAAAGCCCAGGGCUCAACCUUGGAAUUGCUCUUAAAACUACAGUACUCGAAUCUCGGAGAGGAUAGCGGAAUUGUCAGUGUAGCAGUGAAAUGCGUAGAUAUUGACAGGAACACCAGUGGCGUAAGCGGCUAUCUGGACGAGUAUUGACGCUGAGGCACGAAAGCGUGGGGAUCAAACAGG